RNAcentral lists this ribosomal RNA (1062 nucleotides) under Enterococcus faecium. RNAcentral's name for it is "bacterial SSU rRNA". It matches the Rfam family "Bacterial small subunit ribosomal RNA", at positions 59 to 1092 of the family's 1533-position model. Lineage: Bacteria; Bacillati; Bacillota; Bacilli; Lactobacillales; Enterococcaceae. The record is from RNAcentral.
CAGUCGUACGCUUCUUUUUCCCCGGAGCUUGCUCCACCGGAAAAAGAAGAGUGGCGAACGGGUGAGUAACACGUGGGUAACCUGCCCAUCAGAAGGGGAUAACACUUGGAAACAGGUGCUAAUACCGUAUAACAAUCGAAACCGCAUGGUUUUGAUUUGAAAGGCGCUUUCGGGUGUCGCUGAUGGAUGGACCCGCGGUGCAUUAGCUAGUUGGUGAGGUAACGGCUCACCAAGGCCACGAUGCAUAGCCGACCUGAGAGGGUGAUCGGCCACAUUGGGACUGAGACACGGCCCAAACUCCUACGGGAGGCAGCAGUAGGGAAUCUUCGGCAAUGGACGAAAGUCUGACCGAGCAACGCCGCGUGAGUGAAGAAGGUUUUCGGAUCGUAAAACUCUGUUGUUAGAGAAGAACAAGGAUGAGAGUAACUGUUCAUCCCUUGACGGUAUCUAACCAGAAAGCCACGGCUAACUACGUGCCAGCAGCCGCGGUAAUACGUAGGUGGCAAGCGUUGUCCGGAUUUAUUGGGCGUAAAGCGAGCGCAGGCGGUUUCUUAAGUCUGAUGUGAAAGCCCCCGGCUCAACCGGGGAGGGUCAUUGGAAACUGGGAGACUUGAGUGCAGAAGAGGAGAGUGGAAUUCCAUGUGUAGCGGUGAAAUGCGUAGAUAUAUGGAGGAACACCAGUGGCGAAGGCGGCUCUCUGGUCUGUAACUGACGCUGAGGCUCGAAAGCGUGGGGAGCAAACAGGAUUAGAUACCCUGGUAGUCCACGCCGUAAACGAUGAGUGCUAAGUGUUGGAGGGUUUCCGCCCUUCAGUGCUGCAGCUAACGCAUUAAGCACUCCGCCUGGGGAGUACGACCGCAAGGUUGAAACUCAAAGGAAUUGACGGGGGCCCGCACAAGCGGUGGAGCAUGUGGUUUAAUUCGAAGCAACGCGAAGAACCUUACCAGGUCUUGACAUCCUUUGACCACUCUAGAGAUAGAGCUUCCCCUUCGGGGGCAAAGUGACAGGUGGUGCAUGGUUGUCGUCAGCUCGUGUCGUGAGAUGUUGGGUUAAGUCCCGCAA